ACUUGCUAACAAGAUCCCCAGCUGCACCACCAGUGCUCACAAACCAAAACCCAGACCCAACCUUUAAAAGCCUCCACACUUUUGGUUCAUUGCAAGGACUACCCAGAAUAGGAAUCUCAAUGGUGAGGUCAGUGAGAGUUGGAAUGUAAUCAAGACCUGAUGCAGAGAAAUACACCGGUGUGCCGAUUGCAUCAGGGUUACGGAUUACAUCAAGAGGGCAUGUUUUGUUUCUUGUGUGUCCUAAUGUAAUGCCUCCAUUGUCGGCCCAAAGUGGAAAUACGUAGUAACCUUCACCUGGUUUAAGAGGGUUACCUUGUUUGUCUACUACUGCCUCUGGUUCAGCUCCUUGUAGUGGCUUUGUGUUGAACAAAACUAAGAGAGAAAGGAAGCAAAAGAGUUGAAUGAAUUUCAUGGUUUCUUGAUUUUUUUUUUUUUUUUGAUUGUUUGUAGAUUGUGAUGUUUAUGUUGUGUCUUUCUAAGUUAAUUGUAUGAUUGUUUAUAUAGAGAAGCAUGUCAGGUUUAAUUUGGACAUGUUUAUGGAGUGAUGGUAUAAAAAAUUAAGUUAGUGAUAUUAUAUAUUUGCCAUGAGCGCCACGCGGUACUAGUUUAAAAUGAAAUUUUGGGAACUUCGUGGAACACGUUGAUAGAAAAAUAAACAGCAUCUUCAUCCACAAUGGACUUGGUAUGGUAUCCCUUCAUCACGUUGACUUGUGAAUAAUGAUUUUCUUGGCCCAUUUGCUGCAUUAUGACUUCAAGAAAGUUACUCUUCUCACAUUUAAAAUUGCUAAAAAAUGUACUCAAUUGUGGUUAACUACAGUUGGCUUUUCCAACAGUAGAUAACUACCGUUGAACAUUUUUUAUAAUCAUUUAAUCAUUUUUUAAGUCAGUUUUGAACCACCGAAAUGUAGUUAACUAUAGCUUAAUACGUUUUUUUAGCAAUUUCAAAUGUGGGAGUAACUUGCGAAAAUUGUUUUUCUAGCAUAGAAUACUUCCUAUUGACACAAGUAAAUGACGCUUUUAUCCCCAGCGGCAGUUAACUGCCAUUAGGCUAUGCACCGGCAGUUAACAACUGAUGGCUUUUCAGCGGCAGUUAACUGCCGUUGUGUUUGUGAUAUAUUCAAGUCAGUAGCCAUAACCCAGACACUCACUCACUCCAUCAUCACCUUCACCAUCUUUCUCUCAAAUUUUCACUCACUCUCUAAAAAAACUCUAUCAAAUCAUCCAAAAUUUCUUCCACUAAAUCACAAGUAAGUUAUCACUUAUGUUAUUGUCAUACAUUUUAGUUAGUAUAUGUGUUUAUAUGUUUAUAAUUUUAAUUGUUGUUUAAUUAUUAAAUUUUGAAUUUUUGUUUUUAAUAUAAUUAUUUUGUAGAUCUGAAAUGCUAUUAACAUAUGUUAUGAAUACCUGUUAUAAUGAAGUUAUAUUGCUUGAAUUUAUAUAUUUUUUUGAAUUUUAUAAAUUUUUUAGGGUUUGAAUAUUUGUUUUUAAUAUAGUUAUGUUGUAGAUUUGAAACAAUGGCCGGGUGGAUCGACGUUCAUGCACAAUUCAACAGCGGAGAACCUCAGAGGUUGAAGGUUCGGUGCCUUGGUGUAACGUUAAGAGGUCUCAAGGAUGAACUGACUGAAUUCAACCAAGGAAUCAACCCUAGAGACACAAGGAGGGUGGAACACAUUCGGUAUAAACGUCCAACGCUCGACGAGGGCAGAGUAUCAUUCACUUGGGUGGAAUUAAUGAACGACGAAAACGUGACGAGCAUGUUCUGGGAGCACAACAUGUUCCAGUUGAUCAAUAUGUGGGUGACGUUGCUGAGAUCAACUGAAUAUAUCAUCAAAAGUUUGAUUCUUCCAGAAUAUCGUCAUUAGGUCCUGAAUGAACGCACCUUCCAGCUACCACAAUUGUCUUCCUUUGAAUGUGGUAAUUCAAACAUGCCAUAUGGCAUGACUCCAAUGUUCGACUGACAUUCCCAUUGUUCAUGUCAAAAGAUUAAGUUCUUGUUAGGCCGGUUUAAAUGAAGGUAUUAAAGUGUCAAUGAAUGGACCUCAUUCUUUUGACACUUGAAUACCGACCGUCAUUUAAACCAAACCUAACAAGAAUUUAAUAUUUUGAAUGAAACUAUGAGAAUGUCGGUCGAACAUUGGAGUCCUGCUGCUUGGCAAGUUUGAAUUUACCCCAUUCAAAGGUAACACAAUUGUUGUAGUUGGAAGGUACAAACAUCCAACUGCAACAAUUGUCUUCCUUUGAAUGAGGUAAUUCAAACUUGUUAAUCGACAGGAAUCCAACAUUCGAUAAACAUCUUGAAUACUGGUAUUGAAGUGUCAAGGAAUGCACCUCAUUCUUUUGACACUUGAAUACCAUCAUUCAAGAUGCUGAUAGGAUGUUGGAGUUCUGCUGUUUAGCAAGUUUGAAUUUGCCCAUUCAUGGAUAAGAUAAUUGUUGCAGUUGGAAGGUACAUUCUGGAAUGUAAUGUAAUACAAUGUAAUGUGAUAACAUAUAUAGUUGAAUAUGCAUAAUACAUUUUGUUUUGAAUGGAACAAUAAUUAUCUUAUUUAUUCAGUUUUCGAAUUUAUUUAUUCAUUACGCAAUUUUAAUUAGUUGAAUUCAUGUUAGAUUUAAUUAGUUUUUAUUCGAAACACGAGUUUAAUCGAAAUUAUUCCAAAUGCGGUUUUAAUUGAAAUUAUUCAAAACGCGAAUUUAUUCAAAGUACCAAUAUGUCAAGGAAAAUGUACCAUAAAAAAAACAUAAAAAAAGAUCCGAAACAAUUAGAUAUUACAACCCGUUAUAUUAUAUCAUCUUCCUCGUAACACAAGUCAAUUGGGUUGUCCUCGACAGUCCCUGGGACACCUGCUUUUGGCUGAGGACCAAAAUAGCAUGUCCUCCCGCUCCUCCUCAACCUCGAAUGAUUAUACACCAGCACCUUCGAAUCCUUCUUUUUGACGGAUCCAUCACAUGUGAUUCCGUGCCAUGUCAUCGGUGAUUUUUCUUUCUUCUUGUCGUCACCCUCCUUCUUCUUGUUCAACUCAAUGUUUCUCUGAUUCUGAGACAUAUCUACAUAAACAAAUCGGUGAUCAAAACCUACAUCAUGUCGUAACAAUUCUACAAUAAUUCAUCAAAACCUAAACUAAUCCUAAAAAUUAUACCGUAACUAAUCGUAACAAUUCUAUCACAAAUUCAUAGCAACAAAAUUUCAUAACAAACCUAAACUAAUCGCAACAAUUCAUCUAAUCCUAAAAAUUCUACCAUAAUUUCAUAACAAUUCUACAAUUCUAACCUAAACCUAACAAUUCAAACAACCUAAACUAUCAGAACAUCAUAAAAUCAAUAAACCUCUAUAAUCGCAAUUUAACAAAAAAAACUAACAAAUCAAUCGCAAAAUAGCAAUGCAAUAGGAUUAAAAAAACUUACUUAAUUUUGUGCUUGAAAUUGGCUUGAAAUGACUUAUGCUUUGUGAAAUUCGCACCUAUGGAAGCAAAAAACGUAACAAUAACAAUGGAGUUUUGGAAACUUCUAUAUUGUUCUGUUCAUAUAUCAAAAACACAAUGACAGUUAACUGCCGCUGGAAAGCCAGCGGUUGGUAACUGUCGGCGCAUAGCCUAACGGUAGUUAACUGUCGUUGGAGGUAAAAACGUCAUUUAUUUGUGUCAAUAGAAAAUAUUGAUUGUCCAAAAAAGCAAUUUUCUUAACUUGCUUACUUCAAAGGAAGGCCAAGGCCCAAUUAAAAAAGGAGCAAUGAAAUGGGGAGUAAAGUUUCCAUAAGGUUGCUCUUUUGGCCUCCCUAAUUGCUCACAAGUUUUGAAAACGUCCUUCCCUAGUUUUCUACCAAAGCACUUUUAAACACAACAAAACAAUCUUCGGGAGAUACAAACUGAAAGGUUAAGCAAUUGUGGAUGGUCAAAAGUGCAAACUUCAAGUUCUCAUAACGUCAUGGAUAAGAAUAUGACCACAAAUGCGCAGUGGUUGCACAAGAAAUUGAUAAUUGACAUAUUCGAUUACCUGAUCACAUUCUUUAAUAAUAGGACCGUGGUCUGCAAAAUAAAGUAUCAAAUUAAGAUAUAAAUAUGUUAAUCAUUCCUUCAAAAAAAAAAAUGUUAAUCAUAAAAUCUAGAAUCAAUCAGUUUAACAAAUAAAAAAUUAUGACUCAUAAUUUGCCAAGGAGUUUCCUUUUCUCAUAAUUUGCCUUCGAAGAGGUUGCUUUGGCAUGAAGGUUCUAACAUUCAUAACUCUAAUUUCUUUUCCUAGAAGUAUUGUGGAUAUGGUCGUCUAACGUUGAAAAAGGGUGGUAUUGUGAUGAAUCAUGGUGGUGGUGCUGCUUGUGGAGUUGUGGGGUGUGGCAUAUUACCAUAAUUUGGCUUCAAAGAGGCUGUUUUUGCAUGCAGGUUCUGAAAUUUAUAGCUUGUAAUUUGUGUGUAAUAUUCAAAAAUCAUUUAGUAUGGGACGGAAGGAGUAAAACUUGAACAAAAUUGUUUUAGAAAUUAAAUUUAAUAUAUGCAACAAAAAAGUUUGUGAUAUUCGCGAGGCAUGUCAACAUACAACAUGACAAAUUAUGGUAUGGCAGUGCUUGUGUUUGGUUUUAAGCUUUUUAUUUAUUUUUUCUUUGUUUGGUGUGUCAUAAUAUCGAACCUAGGGCACUGAGAUUGAAAAGUAGAUUUUAACUAAGCGAUCAUAUAAGGUAACCAACAAUUUUUCAUUUAUCUCAUUAAAUCGUAAUAAACAUGAGAUUCCAACAAUCAUAUAAAUUAUAUUGAAUGAUGUAGAAAAAUAUAGUUUGAAGAGGAAUGAACUUCUUACAAAAGUUUGAAAAAAAAAAUGCAAAGAUGAAGGGCUUUUGAAUUUCUUUGAAGUAUGAUUUUUUUCAACUGAGAAAAGUGGUCAUGGACUUAAAAGUGAAAAUGUAAAUUAUUUUACACGGACAUCAAAUUAGAGCUAAGAAUUCGGCAUUUAUUUAAAAAAUGGAUGUAAUAUAUGCUUAGGUGACAAUACGAUGAUGUGUUUUUACUGGUUGGCAGCGUAAUCCUAUAAAAUGGUCGUUAAUUUAUAAACUUAUAGAGCAAGAGUAGUACCGUAGAAAAUGGAAAUAACCAUUUUCUCUUUUCUUUUGCAUUCUUGGUGAGAAAAAAAUAACUUGAGGUUCACAAUCCCAUAUGUGGAAUCGAUAUUUUAUCACGACGAUAAAAUCAUGCACUUGCGAUGAUAUCACUUUCUUCGAUUAAUACAUUAUAAAUAUGGAGUGUGAGGGGUAAAUUGUUAAAUUGUCUGCUUCCUCUAAAUUUUGACUGAGUUUGAUAUCUUCACAAUCUUCUUAGGCCUCGGUAAAAAUAUUCGACUAACCCAUGUUCGUCUAUAUUUUUUAGUGCAAAAAAAUUGAAAGGGUAAAAAUGGAUUGAUUUUAACUAGAAAAUUAAAAACUAAUUCAACAAUAUGACAUGUAUACCUGUGGCAAAAGACCUAAAACAAAUAACACUAUUCAUUGUUUGCUGGGAAUUGUGUGCGAAAAAGAAUAAAUUUUUCAUAAGAACUUGUUCAUAAAUCCAACAAUUAGAAACAACUAAUAAAAGUGUAGGAAAAAAAUAGAACACAGAUAAAUUUGAGACAGAUAUUAGACAUAAAGGUUGAAUUUCAUUUCACUUAUGACAAGAAAGGGUGGCAAAUCUUAAAACAUAACAAGUACUCUCUAACCACAAAUACAAUGUGCCAAACUAGACACCGCUGAAAUCUUGAUUCUUGUUCUGAGUAAAAGUGGAAGCCUUCUGAAAUCUAACAUAAUAAGGUUCUUCAAUACCAGCACCAAGAGCCAUAACUUUAGUUCCAUCAGUAUCUACAAAAGUUCCAACAGGAGCACAAAGAGUACCAGGAACAGAAGGACAGUACAGAAAGCUAUAAAUCUCAUAAGCAUGUUCUCCCUCAAGCCUCUCAAUCUUAAACUGGCUAAAAAGGUUCCCAGGAAAACCACCGGUGCUCACAAACCAAAACCUAGCUCUAGUUCCCUCUUUUGAAAUCUUCCACACUUUUCUCUCACUGCAAGGACUACCCAAUAUUGGAAUCUCAACGGUGAGAUCAGUGAGAGUUGGAAUGUAAUCAUGUUCAUAUUCAUAGAAAUAAACUGGCGAGCCAAUGGCUUCAGGGUUACGGAUAACAUCAAGAGGGCAUGUUUUGUUUCUUGUUUGUCCUAAUGUUAUGCCUCCAUUGUCAGCCCAAAGUGGAAAUACGUAGUAACCUUCACCUGGUUUAAGAGGGUUACCUUGUUUGUCUACUACUGCCUCUGGU
RNAcentral lists this long non-coding RNA (6261 nucleotides) under Medicago truncatula (barrel medic). RNAcentral's name for it is "long non-coding RNA (MTRU_LNC001208)". Lineage: Eukaryota; Viridiplantae; Streptophyta; Magnoliopsida; Fabales; Fabaceae. The record is from RNAcentral.